CGAGGGUUAGUUUAAUAAAACCCCUGAUUUCGGCUCAGGAAAUUCUGGUUUAAGCCCAGGACCCUUAA
Molecule: transfer RNA, 68 nt
Filed under: Sinaechinocyamus mai
Lineage: Eukaryota; Metazoa; Echinodermata; Echinoidea; Clypeasteroida; Taiwanasteridae
Description: tRNA-Arg
Rfam family: tRNA
About the family: Transfer RNA (tRNA) molecules are approximately 80 nucleotides in length.
Source: RNAcentral